RNAcentral lists this ribosomal RNA (253 nucleotides) under uncultured bacterium. RNAcentral's name for it is "partial 16S ribosomal RNA". It matches the Rfam family "Bacterial small subunit ribosomal RNA", at positions 524 to 776 of the family's 1533-position model. The record is from RNAcentral.
GACGGAGGGUGCGAGCGUUAUUCGGAAUCAUUGGGCGUAAAGAGCGUGUAGGCGGCCGAUUAAGUCAGGUGUGAAAGCCCGGGGCUCAACCUCGGAAGUGCACUUGAAACUGGUCGGCUUGAGUUCGGGAGAGGGUAGCGGAAUUCCUGGUGUAGAGGUGAAAUUCGUAGAUAUCAGGAGGAACAUCGGUGGCGAAGGCGGCUACCUGGACCGAAACUGACGCUGAGACGCGAAAGCGUGGGGAGCAAACAGG